GAAGUUUAGGAUAAUAAGUCCAAGAGCCUUCAAAGCUCUAAGUAAGUUCCACAACUUAACUUCUG
RNAcentral lists this transfer RNA (65 nucleotides) under Sigmodon hispidus (hispid cotton rat). Its description in RNAcentral is "tRNA-Trp". Lineage: Eukaryota; Metazoa; Chordata; Mammalia; Rodentia; Cricetidae. The record is from RNAcentral.